CCGAGCGUUACAGGGAGAGGAACUGGCACCGCCCUCAAGAUCGUAGCCACUGGUCCAAUUGCUGGCGGCGAGAGGAUGCAGACUAUGAGCAGAGGAGAUACAGUUACUCUUCUCACGAUGGCUUUGAUAGCUGAGCGUCUUGGACGGCCAAGGACAGAAGCAGAGGAAGAGAUUACCACCAUUUGAAAGAGAGAUCCUGCUCCCCAUCAUGUGGCCGUCUGCCAGCAUCUGAAUCAGCUUGUAACAGAGCAAAUCACUAUUAUAGGAAGAACGGUUCUACUGAGAGGGACGGCAGCUCUCAAGCACAUCGCUCCAAAAAACACUAGAUGUGUAAGAGAAGGAAGUCAGAUGAUAAAGACAGACACUGUGACAGCAGGAGUUCUGAUGUGGAUUCAGACCGAGGUGCAGAAAAGAAAAGGAGGCGACACCACAGCAGCGACAGCGAGCGCAGCCUGUGCAUGGAGCGAAGCCACAAGAAUGGAAGCGACGAGGAAAGGGAGAGUCGCAAACGACGUUACUCGCAUGAAAACUACUGUAAAUCUGAUAGCAGCUUUCCACCUGGAAAAAGUCCAAGAUUGCCACUCCCUCGGUUCUAUGUCACUCACUAAUGGUUCAACUCACCGACACCACAAGCUCUCUCCAGCUCCAGUGUUUUUUGCCCUGGGCGCCAAUAUUGUGACAAAACUAUUUGUGUCUGCCUAAUACAGUUUGCGUGUCUGUACUUUGAUCCAUGCCGUUAAAACCCAAUCCGACGUACGGCUCCAGCUGCACUUCCAAAAUCUCAGCUGAUAUUGCCUCUGCAGUCAUGUUGUCCGUUUCCACAAAUCCCACAGCCUGUUCUUUCAAUGUGCAGGUGUGCAGAUAUCUGACGCAUACUGCCACUAGCUCUCUUAUUGACAAGUCUUUUCACUCAUCUGCUAAAAUGGCAUAAUAUGUGUCUGUCUCAUCAUGCAAAUCUGCCUUUAUUUUUAAGAUAAGGAGUGAUGCUGUGAUUUCCAGCAUCUAAUUUUUUAUAGCGUGGUGCAGUAGUUUACCAUUCUUGGGUAAUUCAUUCAGUCUCCUUUUUAUUUCUCGGUCAUAUUUGGAAACCAGGUUAAUUGGUUCCAAAAAGUCACCCUUGUUUAAAGCUUCUAGGUGUUCCCAAUGCCCACGCAAUGAGAUUUCUUGUUUUGCACUGAACAGGAGGAGAUCUAUUACCAUGAUGUGCUGUCUAUGUCUUUCAUUGAAGGACAUGUCACUGGCAUCUUUGUUCAGCUGGCUGGUGACUUUACAUGAAACCAUCUAUUUCAAGAAUAAAACUUUAUAAUUGUAUCUUUCA
This 1318-nucleotide long non-coding RNA is filed under the name Gouania willdenowi (blunt-snouted clingfish). RNAcentral's name for it is "lncRNA (ENSGWIG00000008477.1)". The record is from RNAcentral. Lineage: Eukaryota; Metazoa; Chordata; Actinopteri; Blenniiformes; Gobiesocidae.